AUGAUUUCAUUACAGCGUAAUGGAAUUCUCCAUUCAUUCAUGUGUGUGGUUGGAGUCAGUAGAGUGAAACGUAAUGGUUUCAUUUUUGUGUUUGGUAGGAGAGAUAGAUGGAAUGGAUUUGAUUCAGCCUCAUCCCUAGAGAAUAUGGGUGUGAAUAUAUUCUCUCCGUUCCUAAAUAUAAAUCUCUGUAGAGAUUCCACUAUAGACGACAUAAGUCAAGAAUCAUCAACCGGCAGACGCAUCAAGCACAAGUCACUUGCAGAUCAAGAGAAAGCCCAUUUCAAUCUUCGUUUUCCUUUUGAAUUUUUACAUUGA
RNAcentral lists this ribosomal RNA (315 nucleotides) under Triticum aestivum (bread wheat). Its description in RNAcentral is "partial small subunit ribosomal RNA". The record is from RNAcentral. Lineage: Eukaryota; Viridiplantae; Streptophyta; Magnoliopsida; Poales; Poaceae.